UUUCUAUAUUCUGAUUUGUUAAAAAAGGCAUAACAUAAGAUGUGAAUAAUUCAGAAGGUUUUCUCAUUUUUAAGCAUGUUUUGUGGGUAUCUUUAAUUUUAAGAUGAGAUUUUUCAUUUUAGUUUGCGAACAUCUUAUUGCUACUGACAUAUAACUGUGUUACUAUCCCCAAUAUUUAUUUGUUGCUGUUGUUUUCUCAUGAAGGAAGAUUUAUCUCCACUUUAUCCUCAUAUAUAGAAAUUUUGCUUUUAUUGACAUCACCAUUGCCUUAAAAAUUUAUUUCACCAUCCAGGUUACAUUGGCCCACAUCUAAAAUGGUUGACUAUGCAGUUUCCCUUAUGGCAAGAUUUUACUCACUAGCCUAACCAACAUUGCAGCUUGUUUUGGUCCCUUCACUGCCAUUCUUCCUACAUUAACCCCUCAUGACAUCAAACACACACUCCAUGUUCUUUCUUUUUCUAUUAAAAGAGUUAUUACAUGUCAUAUCAUUAUUUUUAUGUGAAUCGUUGUGAUUAAAUAAGAUCAAUAGGUUGACGCAUGCUCAAUUGCUCAUUGAACUGCAUGCGUAUUAUCAUUUAAGGAUGAGAACUCCAUAUACUUGUCUUAUGAGUCCCUAUUAUGUUUUGUGUCAGUCGAUUAUAGAGUUCAUGCAUUUUACUAUUUUUUUAAGAAAGUAUGAAACCAGUAGGCAAUUUUAGGAAAAAAAAAUACUGGGUGCCGAAAAACUUGAUCAUGCUAUUAAUUUGUACAAUCUUGCAAAAGUUUUCUUCAGGAAUAAUGAUCUCGGAAUUAUUUUUAGAAUGACCCACUGUCUCACAUUGACGACUUGCUAUAGCGAUUGAAGUCUGCAACAAUCAUCAUGAAGUUGGAUCUUAAUUUAGUUAGCAUCUAGUGCACAUCAAUGAGAUGGAUAUAUGGAAUAUUGCUUUUGAAACUAGGCUACAAGUGGCUGGUCAUACCAUUCAGAAUUUGCAAGGCCCCAAACACUUUCAUGAGACUGAUGAAUGAUGUUAAGUGACCAUACUUGUAUGACCUCAUUAUUGUCUAUCUAGGCGAUAUUUUAUUCUUCAGCUGAUCAUGGGAAGAGCACUUGGAGCGUUUGAGGAAGGUUCGCCAUCUACUACGACAACAUAAGCUCCAUCUCAAUUGAAAGAAGUGCGAACACCAAUAAAUCCCUCAAUCUUGGAUUUGGGGUGGGCAAUGGAGAGAUCAAGAUUGAUCCUGUUGGUGAAAAUAAUAACGGAGUGACCCAUAUUGCAGAUAGUGAUUGACAUAAGAAGUUUGAUGGAGCAUGCCAAUAUGUCCGUAAGUUCAUCCUUUACCUUUCUUUACUUACCUCUUCUUUACAUGCUUUGAUUUGGGUUAAUGCCAAAUUUCAAUGGAGCCAAAAGUAAGAGGAUAAGUUUCUUUUGUGAAGAAAAAAAUAAUUUAGGCCUCUAUGUCAGGCUUGCCAAAUUUAGAACAAUCAUUCGGAUUGGAGGUAGGUUCUAGUGGUCAUGCAAUGUAGGAUACUAAUGCAGGAUGAUAAAUCCGUUGGUCACUCUGAGAUUUUCUAAGAGCUUGGAAGAGCCAUCCCAUGUACACCAAAGAGAUGUUGUUAUUGCAUUAAGUAGUAAAACAUUAACAUACUUACCUUCUUGGGAAGAGGACUGUGUUACGUACAUGUCACUUACUAUAUACCAUUUUAGUAUUUGUAGAAUAAGAUGAAGCUGCAACAAGCUCGACAAAUGAAGUGGAUGACUUAUCUCGUACAAUUCAAUAUGGUGAUUAAUUAAAAGAAACAUGCAACAAGAUGUAAGUACCUCGGAUGAUGCAUACUUUAUAUUACCUCCAAACCUGCACACAAGAAGUUGGGAUUAUACACACCAUUUCCUGUACCAAGCCGUCAAUAGAAAACAUUGCUGUAAAUUUUCUGAGAGGUUUACAAAAACUAAGAGAUGCCAUGACUACUAUGUAAUCAUGGAUAGAUUUUAAAGAAUGAUUGUAUUCAUUUCUUAAAGGCAAAUAAUCAUGGGCGAGAAGUUAGCUGGAAUCUUCUUUUAACAUGCAUGCACACUUUGGACUACCUAGUUUCGUUGCAUCUGAUUGAGAUAAUUAGUUACUGAGCGGAUUCUUGGAGAUCUCGUGGGUUAUGAUAUGUAUCAGAUUGAAGAGGAGCAUUGAAUUUUAUUCUAAAAUUGAUUAACAAAUGGAGGCCAUGAGUAGAAUCAUGGUUCACUUAAUAAAGGAGAACAAUAAUAAGAAUCCCAAAAGACCGCCACAAAGCUGCUUUGUUCUUUACCUCUCCUGCUGUUCAUGGUGGGGUUGAAGUUGAAAAAAAUGAGCUUAGUGAUUUUUUAGGGCAUUCGUAAAAUUAAUAAAUUAAUGGAGAGCAAUCUGCAAAUGCCCCAAUAUAAAUUCUAAUAAAGGCAUGAUUGUCAUAGUAUCAAAGUCAACUUCCAUGUUUGAGAUUUGUCUUUUUACAUUAAAUCAAGGAUCGCCUCAAGGGAGAAGGAAAGAAAUUGAAGCUAAUCAAGAAGUGCUUUUUAAAUUUCUAGGAUUGGAGAUAAAGUUUGCUAGUUGGAACUAUUGCUAUACAUAGAGAUAUAUUUGGUUGUAAAUGUGGAUAAAUUGAAGUUUGAACCUUCCUUGCUUAUUGGCGAGUUUGAAGAAAUUCUAUUUGCUAUGGAUGUUCUACUCUCAGAGCAUGAAUUAACUGAGGAUUUGGGCAUACUCUUGAAGCACUUGAAGCAAAAAACUACCACCAUUGGACAUGAACCAAAAGAGAUAUUUUGCAUUUACAAGAAACGCUAGAUGCUAAGCAAAGCCAAUUGAUAGGCCAAGGGAGUUGGACAGGCUGCUUUGAACUUUAAUUUCAUAAGUGUGAAAUCUUCCAAAAUGGGGGACCUAUAAUCUAACGAUAAGAUAUGGUAGGUGAUCAAUUAGAUUGUCUGUGAUCACAAUUUGAUUAUUAGGUUGUGAAAAGAUUAAAAAGUUUGUGAAAAGUUCGUGCUUGUUGUAGUUUUAAUGUCUGAUUUCUCCAAGAAAAUUGCUAGCAUUGUUGAUUCUUAGAUUACACCUUCAAUAUCAAAGAGGUUGUUGUAAGUAGACUAUAGGUGUGGCCAAAUUGUCAAUCAGACAUUACCUGGGAUAUUUUCUUGGAAGUUGGUUUGUUCGAUCAAAAUUCAGAUUACAUCACAGAAUGAUGUAGAUAAUGAUGAGUUAAAAUUUUUAAGCUUGUUUAAGCUUGUUUGGAUAUACUUGUUUUUGAAUUUGUAAUCUAUUAUUUGGAUAAUUCAUGCUGGAAUAACCUGUUAACUUUGAUCUUAUCUAGGUUGUUAUUAGGGAUAUGAUUUCCUCUUUUGCUGGAGUUUGUUUAGGAGUUGCAAUUCUGGGCGAUCCUAGCUGCUGGUAGCCUCUUUGUUUGCUUAUAUUGGAGUCGUUGCAGCUGCUACUAUUGUUGGUCGCUGCUCUGCUGUUAAGUGUUGCUGCGAACUCUAGUGAUGCUCAACGCUCUAGGAAGAAGGAAAAAGCCUUUCUGCUUACUGUGUUCACUUUAAAUACAAAAGGAAAUCUAUAUACAAUAAGGAGAAACUAAACCAACUUUUGGUGUAGAACUCAAAUAAUGUAGCAUUUCUAUUUUUUCUAGUGCUUUGUAAGACUUUGCAAGAUAAAUCUACCUUGUGGAUAAAAAACAUGAUGAAGGGAAAUGUUUGGCAGUCAUGUAAAAUCUAGUUGGUGCUGCACAUAUUUGUUAAAUGAAGCAAACAUUUGCCCAGAAUAGGUCCA
Molecule: long non-coding RNA, 3768 nt
Organism: Dendrobium catenatum
Lineage: Eukaryota; Viridiplantae; Streptophyta; Magnoliopsida; Asparagales; Orchidaceae
Exons: 2
Source: RefSeq, a predicted model, not a curated record